UUACACGUACAUGGUUAUUUUGAAAAACCUUCGUUUGUGCCCUUCGCUUACACGCAAACUGAGAAUUCCCCUCUGAAAACGAGUCUUUCUAAAAACUCCGGCCAGAAUGGAGAUUUUUGAAAUCUUCGUUUGCACAUGUGCAUGAAAACUAGGG
Molecule: long non-coding RNA, 154 nt
Organism: Sander lucioperca (pikeperch)
Lineage: Eukaryota; Metazoa; Chordata; Actinopteri; Perciformes; Percidae
Exons: 3
Source: RefSeq, a predicted model, not a curated record